This is a long non-coding RNA of Cucurbita moschata (crookneck pumpkin), 132 nucleotides long. RefSeq lists it as uncharacterized. The record is from RefSeq and is a predicted model, not a curated record. Lineage: Eukaryota; Viridiplantae; Streptophyta; Magnoliopsida; Cucurbitales; Cucurbitaceae. The transcript has 3 exons.
AUGAUCAAUCUUUCUUGUGAAGUGAUUAGAAUCUCAAACAAGUAUUCUUGCCUUGAGAUAUUUGAUCAACAAGGUGAUUUGAAUCUUACUUCCCUUAUAGUGUUUCCAUAUCUCAUUCAAUGAUAAGGAAUC